CAAUAGCGUAUAUUAAAGCUGUUGUGGUUAAAAAGCUCGUAGUUGGAUUUCUGUCAAGGACAACUGGUCCGCCCUCCGGGUGAGUACAUAGUUUGGUCUUGGCAUCCUGCUGGGAACUGUAGCUGCACUUGGCUGUGUGGUGCAGUGUCCAGCACUUUCACUUUGAGGAAAUUGGAGUGUUUCAAGCAGGCACAUGCCUUUGGACACAGUAGCAUGGAAUAAAUAGAUUGGGCUUUUGCUCCAUUUUGUCGGUUUCUGGAGUAGAGGUGAGAAUUAAUGGGGAUUGUUGGGGGCAUCCGAAUUUAGCCGUCAGAGGUGAAAUUCUUGGAUCUGCUAAAGACGGACAACUGCGAAAGCGUUUGCCCAGGAUGUUUUCAUUGA
RNAcentral lists this ribosomal RNA (381 nucleotides) under uncultured eukaryote. RNAcentral describes it as "partial 18S ribosomal RNA". It matches the Rfam family "Eukaryotic small subunit ribosomal RNA", at positions 592 to 976 of the family's 1831-position model. The record is from RNAcentral.